UGCCAGCCGCCGCGGUAAUACGAGGGGUGCAAGCGUUAUUCGGAAUUACUGGGCGUAAAGGGUGUGUAGACGGCCUUUUAAGUCAAUUGUUAAAUUUCCCGGCUCAACCGGGAGCAAGCAGUUGAAACUGAUAGGCUUGAGUAUUGGAGGGGGUGGUGGAAUUCCCGGUGUAGAGGUGAAAUUCGUAGAUAUCGGGAGGAAUACCGGUGGCGAGGGCGACCACCUGGCCAAAUACUGACGCUGAGGUGCGAAAGCGUGGGGAGCAAACAGGAUUAGAUA
This 279-nucleotide ribosomal RNA is filed under the name uncultured bacterium. RNAcentral describes it as "partial 16S ribosomal RNA". It matches the Rfam family "Bacterial small subunit ribosomal RNA", at positions 506 to 784 of the family's 1533-position model. The record is from RNAcentral.